Molecule: ribosomal RNA, 253 nt
Filed under: uncultured bacterium
Lineage: Bacteria
Description: partial 16S ribosomal RNA
Rfam family: Bacterial small subunit ribosomal RNA
Source: RNAcentral
UACGUAGGGGGCAAGCGUUGUCCGGAUUUAUUGGGCGUAAAGAGCGUGUAGGCGGUCAGGUAGGUCCGUUGUGAAAACUCGAGGCUCAACCUCGAGACGCCGAUGGAAACCAUCUGACUAGAGUCCGGAAGAGGAGAGUGGAAUUCCUGGUGUAGCGGUGAAAUGCGCAGAUAUCAGGAAGAACACCCGUGGCUAAGGCGGCUCUCUAGGACGGUACUGACGCUGAGACGCGAAAGCGUGGGGAGCGAACAGG